RNAcentral lists this ribosomal RNA (301 nucleotides) under uncultured bacterium. RNAcentral describes it as "partial 16S ribosomal RNA". It matches the Rfam family "Bacterial small subunit ribosomal RNA", at positions 509 to 807 of the family's 1533-position model. The record is from RNAcentral.
CAGUCGCCGCGGUAAUACGAAGGGUGCAAGCGUUAAUCGGAAUUACUGGGCGUAAAGCGUGCGUAGGCGGUUUGUUAAGUCUGUUGUGAAAUCCCCGGGCUCAACCUGGGAAUGGCAAUGGAUACUGGCAAGCUAGAGUGUGUCAGAGGAUGGUGGAAUUCCCGGUGUAGCGGUGAAAUGCGUAGAGAUGUGGAGGAACACCGAUGGCGAAGGCAGCCCCCUGGGCCAAUACUGACGCUCAUGCACGAAAGCGUGGGGAGCGAACAGGAUUAGAUACCCCUGUAGUCCCUGUCUCUUAUAC